GUUCCUGUAACGAAAUGGAUAACGCUUUGGACUUUUAAUCCAAAGGUCAUGGGUUCAAAUCCCACCAGGGAUG
Molecule: transfer RNA, 73 nt
Filed under: Trichonephila inaurata madagascariensis
Lineage: Eukaryota; Metazoa; Arthropoda; Arachnida; Araneae; Nephilidae
Rfam family: tRNA
About the family: Transfer RNA (tRNA) molecules are approximately 80 nucleotides in length.
Source: Rfam by way of RNAcentral